GUGGGGAAUUUUGGACAAUGGGCGCAAGCCUGAUCCAGCCAUGCCGCGUGCGGGAAGAAGGCCUUCGGGUUGUAAACCGCUUUUGUCAGGGAAGAAAAGACUCCUGUUAAUACCGGGGGUUCAUGACGGUACCUGAAGAAUAAGCACCGGCUAACUACGUGCCAGCAGCCGCGGUAAUACGUAGGGUGCAAGCGUUAAUCGGAAUUACUGGGCGUAAAGCGUGCGCAGGCGGUUAUGCAAGACAGAUGUGAAAUCCCCGGGCUCAACCUGGGAACUGCAUUUGUGACUGCAUGGCUAGAGUACGGUAGAGGGGGAUGGAAUUCCGCGUGUAGCAGUGAAAUGCGUAGAUAUGCGGAGGAACACCGAUGGCGAAGGCAAUCCCCUGGACCUGUACUGACGCUCAUGCACGAAAGCGUGGGGAGCAAACAGGAUUAGAAACCCUAGUAGUCC
RNAcentral lists this ribosomal RNA (450 nucleotides) under uncultured bacterium. RNAcentral's name for it is "bacterial SSU rRNA". It matches the Rfam family "Bacterial small subunit ribosomal RNA", at positions 354 to 796 of the family's 1533-position model. The record is from RNAcentral.